AAAAUAGUCCCUCCGUCCGAAAAUACUUGUCAUCAAAAUGGAUAAAUAGUUUUUAUCCAUUUUGAUGACAAGUAUUUCCGGACGGAGGGAGUACUUU
Triticum aestivum (bread wheat) is the source of this 97-nucleotide non-coding RNA. The record is from Rfam. NCBI's taxonomy places the organism in Eukaryota, Viridiplantae, Streptophyta, Magnoliopsida, Poales, Poaceae.